Molecule: ribosomal RNA, 429 nt
Filed under: Verrucomicrobiota bacterium
Lineage: Bacteria; Pseudomonadati; Verrucomicrobiota
Description: Verrucomicrobia bacterium partial 16S ribosomal RNA
Rfam family: Bacterial small subunit ribosomal RNA
Source: RNAcentral
UAGGGAAUCUUCCGCAAUGGACGAAAGUCUGACGGAGCAACGCCGCGUGAGUGAAGAAGGAUUUCGGUUCGUAAAACUCUGUUGUUAGGGAAGAAAAAAUGUAUAGUAACUAUAUACAAAAGAGACGGUACCUAACCAGAAAGCCACGGCUAACUACGUGCCAGCAGCCGCGGUAAUACGUAGGUGGCAAGCGUUGUCCGGAAUUAUUGGGCGUAAAGCGCGCGCAGGUGGUUUAGAAAGUCUGAUGUGAAAGCCCACGGCUCAACCGUGGAGGGUCAUUGGAAACUAAUAAACUUGAGUGCAGGAGAGAAAAGUGGAAUUCCUAGUGUAGCGGUGAAAUGCGUAGAGAUUAGGAGGAACACCGGUGGCGAAGGCGACUUUCUGGACUUGAACUGACGCUGAGGCACGAAAGCGUGGGGAGCAAACAGG